GAUGAACGCUGGCGGCGUGCCUAAUACAUGCAAGUCGAGCGAACGGACGAGAAGCUUUCUUCUCUGAUGUUAGCGGCGGGCGGGUGAGUAACACGUGGAUAACCUACCUAUAAGACUGGGAUAACUUCGGGAAAACGGAGCUACUACCGGAUAAUACUUUGAACCGCAUGGUUCAAAAGUGAAUGACGGCUUUGCCGUCACUUAUAGAUGGUUCCGCGCUGCAUUAGCUAGUUGGUAAGGUAACGGCUUACCAAGGCAACGAUGCGUAGCCGACCUGAGAGGGUGAUCGGCCACACUGGAACUGAGACACGGUCCAGACUCCUACGGGAGGCAGCAGUAGGGAAUCUUCCGCAAUGGGCGAAAGCCUGACGGAGCAACGCCGCGUGAGUGAUGAAGGUCUUCGGAUCGUAAAACUCUGUUAUUAGGGAAGAACAUAUGUGUAAUUAACUGUGCACAUCUUGACGGUACCUAAUCAGAAAGCCACGGCUAACUACGUG
RNAcentral lists this ribosomal RNA (497 nucleotides) under uncultured bacterium. RNAcentral's name for it is "partial 16S ribosomal RNA". It matches the Rfam family "Bacterial small subunit ribosomal RNA", at positions 28 to 507 of the family's 1533-position model. The record is from RNAcentral.